RNAcentral lists this ribosomal RNA (468 nucleotides) under uncultured bacterium. RNAcentral describes it as "partial 16S ribosomal RNA". It matches the Rfam family "Bacterial small subunit ribosomal RNA", at positions 28 to 523 of the family's 1533-position model. The record is from RNAcentral.
GAUGAACGCUGGCGGCGUGCCUAACACAUGCAAGUCGAGCGAUCUUCUUCGGAAGAGAGCGGCGGACGGGUGAGUAACGCGUGGGUAACCUGCCCUGUACACACGGAUAACAUACCGAAAGGUAUGCUAAUACGAGAUAAUACGCUUUUAUCGCAUGGUAGAAGUAUCAAAGCUCCGGCGGUACAGGAUGGACCCGCGUCUGAUUAGCUAGUUGGUAAGGUAAUGGCUUACCAAGGCGACGAUCAGUAGCCGACUUGAGAGGGUGAUCGGCCACAUUGGAACUGAGACACGGUCCAAACUCCUACGGGAGGCAGCAGUGGGGAAUAUUGCACAAUGGGCGAAAGCCUGAUGCAGCAACGCCGCGUGAGCGAUGAAGGCCUUCGGGUCGUAAAGCUCUGUCCUCAAGGAAGAUAAUGACGGUACAUGAGGAGGAAGCCCCGGCUAACUACGUGCCAGCCGCCGCCGUAA